CCUACGGGAGGCUGCAGUGAGGAAUAUUGGUCAAUGGACGAGAGUCUGAACCAGCCAAGUAGCGUGAAGGAUGACUGCCCUAUGGGUUGUAAACUUCUUUUAUAUGGGAAUAAAAUGUUCCACGUGUGGGAUUUUGUAUGUACCAUAUGAAUAAGGAUCGGCUAACUCCGUGCCAGCAGCCGCGGUAAUACGGAGGGUCCGAGCGUUAUCCGGAUUUAUUGGGUUUAAAGGGAGCGUAGGUGGAUUGUUAAGUCAGUUGUGAAAGUUUGCGGCUCAACCGUAAAAUUGCAGUUGAAACUGGCAGUCUUGAGUACAGUAGAGGUGGGCGGAAUUCGGGGUGUAGCGGUGAAAUGCUUAGAUAUCACGAAGAACUCCGAUUGCGAAGGCAGUUCACUGGACUGCAACUGACACUGAGGCUCGAAAGUGUGGGUAUCAAACAGGAUUAGAUACCCUUGUAGUC
This 460-nucleotide ribosomal RNA is filed under the name uncultured bacterium. RNAcentral describes it as "partial 16S ribosomal RNA". It matches the Rfam family "Bacterial small subunit ribosomal RNA", at positions 338 to 795 of the family's 1533-position model. The record is from RNAcentral.